UCGGGAAUUUUGGGCAAUGGGCGAAAGCCUGAUCCAGCAAUGCCGCGUGCAGGAUGAAGGCCUUCGGGUUGUAAACUGCUUUUGUACGGAGCGAAACGGCUUCUCCUAAUACGAGGAGCUAAUGACGGUACCGUAAGAAUAAGCACCGGCUAACUACGUGCCAGCAGCCGCGGUAAUACGUAGGGUGCAAGCGUUAAUCGGAAUUACUGGGCGUAAAGCGUGCGCAGGCGGUUAUAUAAGACAGAUGUGAAAUCCCUGGGCUCAACCUAGGAACUGCAUCUGUGACUGUAUAGCUAGAGUACGGUAGAGGGGGAUGGAAUUCCGCGUGUAGCAGUGAAAUGCGCAGAUAUGCGGAGGAACACCGAUGGCGAAGGCAAUCCCCUGGACCUGUACUGACGCUCAUGCACGAAAGCGUGGGGAGCAAACAGGAUUAGAUACCCCCGUAGUCCCUGAG
Molecule: ribosomal RNA, 454 nt
Filed under: uncultured bacterium
Lineage: Bacteria
Description: bacterial SSU rRNA
Rfam family: Bacterial small subunit ribosomal RNA
Source: RNAcentral